GACGAACGCUGGCGGCGCGCUUAACACAUGCAAGUCGAACGGAAAGGCCUGCUUUCCCUUGUGGAUUGCGGGUACUCGAGUGGCGAACGGGUGAGUAACACGUGAGUGAUCUGCCCCCAACUUGGGUAUAAGCCUGGGAAACUGGGUCUAAUUCCCGAUAGGACUGCAGGGUGGUGCCUGUGGUGGCAAACGAUUUUCUAGUGGUUGGGGAUGAGCUCGCGGCCUAUCAGCUUGUUGGUGGGGUAAUGGCCUACCAAGGCGGCGACGGGUAGCCGGCCUGGGAGGGUGGACGGCCAAAUUGGGACUGAGUUACGGCCCAGACGCGUACGAGAGGCAGCAGUGGGGAAGAUUGCACCAUGGGCGGAAGCCUGAUGCAGCGACGCCGCGUGGGGGAUGACGGCCUUCGGGUUGUAAACUCCUUUCGACCGCGAGGAAGCCAAGUGGUUGGAAGGGUGGUGACGGUAGUGGUAGAAGAAGCACCGGCUAACUACGUG
RNAcentral lists this ribosomal RNA (494 nucleotides) under uncultured bacterium. RNAcentral describes it as "partial 16S ribosomal RNA". It matches the Rfam family "Bacterial small subunit ribosomal RNA", at positions 28 to 507 of the family's 1533-position model. The record is from RNAcentral.